CCUACGGGAGGCAGCAGUGGGGAAUAUUGCACAAUGGGGGAAACCCUGAUGCAGCGAAGUCGCGUGAGUGAAGACGUAAUUCGUUAUGUAAAGCUCUAUCAGCAGGGAAGAAAAUGACGGUACCUGAGUAAGUAGCCCCGGGUCACUACGUGCCAGCAGCCGCGGUAAUACGUAGGGGGCAAGCGUUAUCCGGAUUUACUGGGUGUAAAGGGAGCGUAGACGGCAGUGCAAGUCUGGAGUGAAAGGCGGGGGCUCAACCCCCGGAGUGCGCUGGAAACUGAACGGCUGGAGUGCAGAAGAGGUAAGUGGAAUGCCUGGUGUAGCGGUGAAAUGCGUAGAUAUUAGGAGGAACACCAGUUGCGAAGGCGGCUUACUGGCCUGUAACUGACGUUGAGGCUCGAAAGCGUGGGGAGCAAACAGGAUUAGAUACCCCUGUAGUC
This 440-nucleotide ribosomal RNA is filed under the name uncultured bacterium. Its description in RNAcentral is "partial 16S ribosomal RNA". It matches the Rfam family "Bacterial small subunit ribosomal RNA", at positions 338 to 795 of the family's 1533-position model. The record is from RNAcentral.